Micropterus salmoides (largemouth bass) is the source of this 370-nucleotide long non-coding RNA. RefSeq lists it as uncharacterized. The record is from RefSeq and is a predicted model, not a curated record. Lineage: Eukaryota; Metazoa; Chordata; Actinopteri; Centrarchiformes; Centrarchidae. The transcript has 3 exons.
AUAGGGCCCUAAAUCUUAACUGCCUUCAGUACUUAACGGCAGCUGAGCAACGAUAAACAUCAAACAAGUACUGAGCUUCUGUACAAGCAGCACACGGUAACUGACAGUCGGGGGCGUCUGAAGUCUUGAUUUUUUUAGAAGGAGGAAGUGAAAGAGAUACUGGUCUGCCUCAUGGAUUGUGGGCUGAUCAUCUUUGUGCUCACAGGAGCACUGGUCAAUGUUGCCUCUGCCCAAACUCGUCAGUACUACUUUGAGAGUACACCACUGAACUGGACUGAAGCUCAGAGCUUCUGCAGACAGGUCUACAGUGACCUGGCCACCAUAGAAACCAUAUCUGACGUCAGUACCGUACUCAGCACCACACCGAGCU